Molecule: ribosomal RNA, 496 nt
Filed under: uncultured soil bacterium
Lineage: Bacteria
Description: bacterial SSU rRNA
Rfam family: Bacterial small subunit ribosomal RNA
Source: RNAcentral
AGAGUGAACGCUGGCGGUAGGCCUAACACAUGCAAGUCGAACGGCAGCACGGUAAGAGCUUGCUCUUAUGGGUGGCGAGUGGCGGACGGGUGAGGAAUACAUCGGAAUCUACCUUUUGGUGGGGGAUAACGUAGGGAAACUUACGCUAAUACCGCAUACGCCCUUCGGGGGAAAGCCGGGGACCAGCAAUGGCCUGGCGCUGAUAGAUGAGCCGAUGUCGGAUUAGCUAGUUGGUGAGGUAAUGGCUCACCAAGGCGACGAUCCGUAGCUGGUCUGAGAGGAUGAUCAGCCACACUGGAACUGAGACACGGUCCAGACUCCUACGGGAGGCAGCAGUGGGGAAUAUUGGACAAUGGGCGCAAGCCUGAUCCAGCCAUACCGCGUGGUGAGAAGGCCUUCGGUUGUAAAGCCUUUGUUGGAAAGAAAGCAUUCGGUUAAUACCGGUGGUCUGACGGUACCCAAAGAAUAAGCACGGCUAACUCGUAGCCAGCAGCCG